Molecule: ribosomal RNA, 842 nt
Filed under: uncultured archaeon
Lineage: Archaea
Description: bacterial SSU rRNA
Rfam family: Archaeal small subunit ribosomal RNA
Source: RNAcentral
CAGACUGCUCAGUAACACGUGGCUAACCUAAUCUUAGGUGGGGGAUAUUCUUGCGAAAGUGAGGUUAAUACCCCAUAGUUGUUGGAUGCUGGAAUGCGCUGACAAUCAAAGUUCAGGCGCCUAAGAAUGGGGCUGCGACGUAUCAGGCAGUUGUGAGUUUAAAAUACUCACAAGCCUAUAACGCGUAGGGGCCAUGAGAGUGGGAGCCUCGAGAUGCCUUCUGAGACAUGAAGGCAGGUCCUACGGGACGCAGCAGGCGCGAAAACUUUCCAAUUCGUUAACGCGUGAGAAGGGAAUCCUGAGUGGUUAUGCUAUGCAUAACCUUUUCUUUAAUUUAAACAGUUAGGGGAAUAAGUGGUGGGUAAGACAGGUGCCAGCCGCCGCGGUAAUACCUGCGCCACGAAUGGUGAUCACGAUUAUUGGGUCUAAAGCGUCCGUAGCCGGUUUAGCAAGUUCUUGGUGAAAUCUGGCAGUAAACUGUCAGGCAUGCUGAGAAUACUACUAGACUUGAGAUCGGGAUAGGGUGGGGGUAUUCCAUGUGUAGGGGUUAAAUCCUUUAAUCCAUGGAGGACCACCGGUGGCGAAGGCGUCCACCUGGAACGAGUCUGACGGUGAGGGACGAAAGCGUGGGGAGCAAAAGGGAUUAGAUACCCCUGUAGUCCACGCUGUAAACGAUGUCCGUUUGAUGUCACAAACCUUACGUGGGUUUGUGGUGUCGGAGUGUAGAUGUUAAGCGGACCACCUGGGGAGUACGGCCGCAAGGUUGAAACUUAAGGGAAUUGGCGGGGGAACACACAAGAGGUGGAGACUGCGGUUUAAUUGGAUUCAACGCCGGGAAGGGC